Solenopsis invicta (red fire ant) is the source of this 1094-nucleotide long non-coding RNA. RefSeq lists it as uncharacterized. NCBI's taxonomy places the organism in Eukaryota, Metazoa, Arthropoda, Insecta, Hymenoptera, Formicidae. The transcript has 2 exons. The record is from RefSeq and is a predicted model, not a curated record.
CUUCGAGGUGUAGCUAAAUGAGGCGUCCGAAUAUCGCCAAUAUACCGUGGCAUGUGAGGAGGACUAAAAGAACGUACGCUAGUCACAGACUCUGCAACAGAAUCUGAUAAACAAUAAUAAUAUUAAAAACUACUUCAGAAUCUUCCAUAUUUUCAUGUGCGACUAGUUCUCUUUCACUGGACAUGAGCACAGUUGUAUUACUUGUUGCAUCAGAUCCCUUUGCAGGUGUUUCAUUGCUAUUUAAACAUCUGAAACAUACAUUAUGCAUAUAACCUCAAACAUUGCAUCUUAAUCUCGAUAUUUAUUAAAAGUAUGUACUUUGAUAUUUAUAGGUAAACUAAUGAAACUGUUGAAAAUGAUAUAAGGCAUACCUUUUCCUUUUUUUAACGGUGAAAACUGUCGGUAUGACUCCCCUUUUUAAUAACUUAUUUUUUGAUGUUGUAGGAAGGAAAUCAUCGAAUUUUAUUAUCCCAUAAAAUUUGAAUCGCAAUGUAAAUAUUUGGAUAGAUCAGAUUUAGUUUUUAUUCAGUUAAGUAUUUUAGUACAUCUAAAACAUAACUUUGAUUGUUUUCUGGAACUACCUAAAUACAAUAUAGUAUCGUAUGAUGCAGGAAAGUUGUUCCUCAUGAGAAGUGUCUGAAGUAAUCCAAAAGAACAAAAAAAUACUUGACAGCUUUUAUUCGAUCGAUCACAGUAUUUCUGAUUAUUAUUAAUAAUAUUUUAUAUAAUAUUACAAACUUAAACUAUUUUUAAUAAUAUUUUUAAUUAUAUUAAUAAUAAUUUAAUAUUAACUUUAGCCAGCUUUGAUUGCAGCUUGGAUUCCGAUUGUGAGGAGCACCCCGAGACCGAUCAUGAAUAAAGGCUGCAAAUAUUUGAAAAUGAGCGGAAUAUUUCUGAUUUGAUUACUCAUCAGCACUAAGUCAUAGAAUAAAUAAUUAAGGUUUAGGCAUAAGGUCAGGUAUAAGAAUAGGUAUAUGGUUAGUAAACUCGGUUAAGGAAUGGAUGGACGAGUGUGUUUAGCUAUGAUGUAAACCAAGUCCACUUCUCGGCUUAAUUGUAUAUUGAAGUAAUAAACUUAUUAUUCACUAACCGUC